UAAGUGAAAGCCAACAAUUCGGCACCUAACUGUUAAUUAGGCCCUAGCUAUAAUUAGCUCACUUAG
This 66-nucleotide transfer RNA is filed under the name Nephtys longosetosa. The record is from RNAcentral. RNAcentral also lists the same sequence under 2 other names. Lineage: Eukaryota; Metazoa; Annelida; Polychaeta; Phyllodocida; Nephtyidae.